RNAcentral lists this unclassified non-coding RNA (200 nucleotides) under Ascomycota sp. RNAcentral describes it as "partial internal transcribed spacer 2". Lineage: Eukaryota; Fungi; Ascomycota. The record is from RNAcentral.
UUAAGUUCAGCGGGUAUCCCUACCUGAUCCGAGGUCAACCUUGAGAUGGAUUUAACGGCGUCGAACCGACGCGUCCCGCAAGCGGAUUGAGUUGCCACAACGCUUUGAGACGGACGGCUUAGCCGGAGACAUUGGGGCGCGCCGACGCGGCGACGCCCAAUACCCAGCCAGGCUGGAGUGGUGAAAUGACGCUCGAACAG